Non-coding RNA from Taenia asiatica, 179 nucleotides. The record is from Rfam. Lineage: Eukaryota; Metazoa; Platyhelminthes; Cestoda; Cyclophyllidea; Taeniidae.
AUCGCUUCAUGUGUAGUAUCUGUUCUUUGCAGCGUAAUUUCUGCAACGGUCCCUAAUUUGGGACCAAUGAAAUUACCUGUAUUUUUCCAAGUGGGACGGGUGCUGUGAGCUUGCUCAACCCCGUCCAAGGGUCGGGGUCGGCCUCGUAUUGCAUUACCUCGAGGAUUGGCCCCAUUGGU